AACGAACGCUGGCGGCAGGCUUAACACAUGCAAGUCGAGCGCCCCGCAAGGGGAGCGGCAGCCGGGUGAGUAACGCGUGGGAACGUACCUUUUGGUUCGGAACAACUCCGGGAAACUGGAGCUAAUACCGGAUACGCCCUCACGGGGAAAGAGUUAUCGCCGAAAGAUCGGCCCGCGUCUGAUUAGCUAGUUGGUGAGGUAACGGCUCACCAAGGCGACGAUCAGUAGCUGGUCUGAGAGGAUGAUCAGCCACACUGGGACUGAGACACGGCCCAGACUCCUACGGGAGGCAGCAGUGGGGAAUAUUGGACAAUGGGCGCAAGCCUGAUCCAGCCAUGCCGCGUGAGUGAUGAAGGCCUUAGGGUUGUAAAGCUCUUUUGUCCGGGAAGAUAAUGACUGUACCGGAAGAAUAAGCCCCGGCUAACUUCGUG
Molecule: ribosomal RNA, 431 nt
Filed under: uncultured bacterium
Lineage: Bacteria
Description: partial 16S ribosomal RNA
Rfam family: Bacterial small subunit ribosomal RNA
Source: RNAcentral